GAUGAAGAACGCAGCGAAAUGCGAUAAGUAAUGUGAAUUGCAGAAUUCAGUGAAUCAUCGAAUCUUUGAACGCACAUUGCGCCCGCCAGUAUUCUGGCGGGCAUGCCUGUUCGAGCGUCAUUUCAACCAUCAAGCCCCCGGCUUGUGUUGGGGACCUACGGCUGCCGCAGGCCCUGAAAACCAGUGGCGGGCUCGCUAGUCACUCCGAGCGUAGUAAUACAUCUCGCUCAGGGCGUGCUGCGGGUUCCGGCCGUUAAAAAAGCCUUAUUUACCCAAGGUUGACCUCGGAUCAGGUAGGAAGACCCGCUGAACUUAAGCAUAUCAAUAAGCGGAGGA
RNAcentral lists this unclassified non-coding RNA (336 nucleotides) under soil metagenome. Its description in RNAcentral is "partial contains 5.8S ribosomal RNA, internal transcribed spacer 2, and large subunit ribosomal RNA". The stretch from base 1 to 120 matches the Rfam family "5.8S ribosomal RNA", at positions 35 to 154 of the family's 154-position model. The record is from RNAcentral.